GGCCGUUAGGCCUGACAACAUGCACACGGUUAAGGCAUUGCCACCUACUUCGUGGCAUCUAACCAUCGUUUUU
This is a small nuclear RNA of Dipodomys ordii (Ord's kangaroo rat), 73 nucleotides long. The record is from Ensembl. NCBI's taxonomy places the organism in Eukaryota, Metazoa, Chordata, Mammalia, Rodentia, Heteromyidae.